GUAACAAGGUCUCCGUUGGUGAACCAGCGGAGGGAUCAUUACCGAGUUUACAACUCCCAAACCCCUGUGAACAUACCUAUACGUUGCCUCGGCGGAUCAGCCCGCGCCCCGUAAAACGGGACGGCCCGCCCGAGGACCCCUAAACUCUGUUUUUAGUGGAACUUCUGAGUAAAACAAACAAAUAAAUCAAAACUUUCAACAACGGAUCUCUUGGUUCUGGCAUCGAUGAAGAACGCAGCAAAAUGCGAUAAGUAAUGUGAAUUGCAGAAUUCAGUGAAUCAUCGAAUCUUUGAACGCACAUUGCGCCCGCCAGUAUUCUGGCGGGCAUGCCUGUUCGAGCGUCAUUUCAACCCUCAAGCUCAGCUUGGUGUUGGGACUCGCGGUAACCCGCGUUCCCCAAAUCGAUUGGCGGUCACGUCGAGCUUCCAUAGCGUAGUAAUCAUACACCUCGUUACUGGUAAUCGUCGCGGCCACGCCGUUAAACCCCAACUUCUGAAUGUUGACCUCGGAUCAGGUAGGAAUACCCGCUGAACCUAAGCAUAUC
RNAcentral lists this unclassified non-coding RNA (544 nucleotides) under Fusarium sulawesiense. RNAcentral describes it as "sequence contains 18S rRNA gene, ITS1, 5.8S rRNA gene, ITS2, 28S rRNA gene". The stretch from base 191 to 344 matches the Rfam family "5.8S ribosomal RNA". The record is from RNAcentral. Lineage: Eukaryota; Fungi; Ascomycota; Sordariomycetes; Hypocreales; Nectriaceae.